CGAACGUUGGCGGCGUGGAUUAGGCAUGCAAGUCGUGCGUGAAAGGAAGCUUCGGCUUCUAAGUAGAGCGGCGAACGGGUGAGUAACGCGUGGGAAAUCUGCCCUCAGGCGGGGGAUAACACUUCUAACGGAGUGCUAAUACCGCAUAACACUUCUUGGUCGCAUGGCCGAGAAGUCAAAGGUGGCCUCUACAUGUAAGCUAGUGCCUGAGGAUGAUCCCGCGUCCGAUUAGCUUGUUGGUGGGGUAACGGCCUACCAAGGCAUCGAUCGGUAGCUGGUCUGAGAGGAUGGUCAGCCACACUGGGACUGAGAUACGGCCCAGACUCCUACGGGAGGCAGCAGUCGAGAGGCUUCGGCAAUGGGGGAAACCCUGACCGAGCGACGCCGCGUGAGGGAUGAAGCCCUUCGGGGUGUAAACCUCUUUUCUAGGGGGAGAACCCUAUGGGAGCGAAUAGGUCUCAUAGCUGACGGUACCCUAGGAAUAAGCUCCGGCUAACUCC
RNAcentral lists this ribosomal RNA (500 nucleotides) under uncultured bacterium. RNAcentral describes it as "bacterial SSU rRNA". It matches the Rfam family "Bacterial small subunit ribosomal RNA", at positions 30 to 504 of the family's 1533-position model. The record is from RNAcentral.